Xiphophorus maculatus (southern platyfish) is the source of this 1116-nucleotide long non-coding RNA. RefSeq lists it as uncharacterized. The transcript is spliced from 3 exons. Lineage: Eukaryota; Metazoa; Chordata; Actinopteri; Cyprinodontiformes; Poeciliidae. The record is from RefSeq and is a predicted model, not a curated record.
AGUGACACGAUCUGUAUUUGGGAUUAUGAUAAACUCAAGUGCGUGUGAGGUGAGAAAUAUAUGCAUUGUUUGGAAAUCUUCGCCUGCAGAAGCCUGGGGGAUACGUGACUUUGUUGAGGCCUGAAGCGUUCAAACUUCUCUCUUUGCAAUUGGCUGGCUCCGUUUGCUGACAUCUGGAGUCCAGCCUCGUCAAUUCUACGUCAAAAACGGCUGAAAGAAAAAAAAAAUCAGAGCAAAUGAAAACCGGAUUGAAGCGUACAAAAAUAAGUGGGAAGGAAAACCUGCGAGUGCUCGUUGCAUUGUUGAGGGGAAAAGAGGGGGGGAAAUAUAGACCACCCACAAGGGAGACGAAAGGGCAAUUUGGGAGAUGUGGAAGGUUACCAUAGCAACAAAGGUAUGAGACAAGAAAAUAAAGGCCUAAAAUAAAUCCAUAAUAUCUUUACUCUACCCAAAUUGCAGGAAUUGCCUGUUCCAAAGCCAUUCUCUCUCAAAAAGCCAAAGCAAAUCUAACCUAUCACACACGUAAGGCAUCAAAUGAAAUCCUCAUUCAGUUUCAUUCCAGGCUUUUAUUUCCUCCUGAUGGGCGAGAUGAAGAUGAGAGGAGGGGGGAGAAAAAAAGAAAAAACUUGCAGCUGAGAGGUGCAGUAAGAUCUGUGUCUAGAUUGACUCAUCUAUUCUCUCAAUUAUUCAGUUUGGUUAGAAAAUGCCUGAGCAGACGUGCUCUGUGCGUUUUCAGCAGGUCUCCAGGUAGCACCGCGCCGCCGCAGCCACUGGAGGAGCACAGAGAGAGCGGUCCAGACCUCCGCCGGGACCCAUUUAAAAGCCCGACGAUGCCCCAGACCAGGGCUCUCCUGAGACGCGGGGAAGACGCUGCACUUAAGAUCUGUCAACUCAUCAUGCCCAACGCCUGAAGUGACCUGAGCAGAAAAGCCACUUGGGGGCGCUCAAAGAGUAUUAGUGGCAUCAUUAAGAUUUCCAUUCUUACAGUGAGAAAUGUACAAGUCUACACCUUCAUCCCAGCAAACAAGCCAUAAGUGUUUCCAAUGACCCUACAGGCCGACUGGAGCCCUACCUUUACCACCACCACCUGCACAGUCACGUGUUCAGGGAGUCUGA